This 74-nucleotide transfer RNA is filed under the name Xylanimonas oleitrophica. It matches the Rfam family "tRNA". Rfam says of the family: Transfer RNA (tRNA) molecules are approximately 80 nucleotides in length. Their secondary structure includes four short double-helical elements and three loops (D, anti-codon, and T loops). Lineage: Bacteria; Bacillati; Actinomycetota; Actinomycetes; Micrococcales; Promicromonosporaceae. The record is from Rfam by way of RNAcentral.
GCCCCCGUAGCCCAACUGGCAGAGGCAGCCGGCUUAAACCCGGCCGAGUCCCGGUUCGAACCCGGGCGGGGGCA